GGAUGUGAGGGCGAUCUGGCUGUGACAUCUGCCACACGUUGAUCACCAGGGUUGAUUUGGCUGAUCUGGCUGGCUAGGCUGGUGUCCUCUUCCUCCCUCACCGCUCCACGUGUGUCCCUCCCAAAGCUGCACACUCAGUCAAAGAGGAUGACCAUCCCCGAUAGAGGAGGGCCAGUCUUCAGUGAAGGGCGCACAAGUAGCUGCGCUUCCCAGCUAGAACCUCCAAACAAGCUCUCAAAGUCUACAUUAUUUAUCAUCAAGUGAUAUUGCCUCUCUAAAGAGAAAAUCGAAAAAUUCAGGAAGACUGCUUCUUACAUGUGGUCAGGGCUAUACAUAGUAGACAUUCCUUAACU
This is an unclassified non-coding RNA of Cebus imitator (Panamanian white-faced capuchin), 353 nucleotides long. Its record names the gene 7SK. It matches the Rfam family "7SK RNA". From Rfam's summary of the family: 7SK was discovered as an abundant small nuclear RNA in the mid-70s but a possible function has only recently been suggested. Two independent studies have found that 7SK RNA binds the CDK9/cyclin T complex (known as elongation factor P-TEFb). The record is from Ensembl. NCBI's taxonomy places the organism in Eukaryota, Metazoa, Chordata, Mammalia, Primates, Cebidae.